GGUAAACCAAGACUCGGGGUCUAAAACUUUGAUUUGUUCACAAUUCUCAGUGCCGCAGCUCUAUGUAAAAUGAGGUGUGCCUAUACUUACAGGAUUUUCAGGCUGUAGAGACCAGAGAAUGCUUCUCCCGGGAUGUGUGAGAGAUGGUUCCCAGAGAGACGCCUGGAAAUCAGAGACAAGGGUCAGCGAUGUUGGCCGGUAACACAAGGAGGUGGUGACCUCCGGAGUGAUCACCAAUUCUGAAAGGAGCAAAUGCAACGAAAUACACUCACUGCUGAAGCUGACUGAGCAGUUUAAUGGUGGAUGAUUCAGAAGACACUGCCUGAUCUCCAAAGUCCCCAGGGACAUCAUUAUGUGCAUCAGUUGCUACCGAGAGACUUGUAGAUUGGAGAUUAUGCUGACAUACCUCAGAAGCUAUUUUUAAAACAUCUACCUCUAAUAAAAGUCUCUUUAUUUGACAU
Molecule: long non-coding RNA, 461 nt
Organism: Sapajus apella (tufted capuchin)
Lineage: Eukaryota; Metazoa; Chordata; Mammalia; Primates; Cebidae
Exons: 2
Source: RefSeq, a predicted model, not a curated record